RNAcentral lists this ribosomal RNA (253 nucleotides) under uncultured bacterium. RNAcentral's name for it is "partial 16S ribosomal RNA". It matches the Rfam family "Bacterial small subunit ribosomal RNA", at positions 524 to 776 of the family's 1533-position model. The record is from RNAcentral.
UACGAAGGGGGCUAGCGUUGCUCGGAAUCACUGGGCGUAAAGGGUGCGUAGGCGGGUCUUUAAGUCAGGGGUGAAAUCCUGGAGCUCAACUCCAGAACUGCCUUUGAUACUGAAGAUCUUGAGUUCGGGAGAGGUGAGUGGAACUGCGAGUGUAGAGGUGAAAUUCGUAGAUAUUCGCAAGAACACCAGUGGCGAAGGCGACACACUGGCCCAUUACUGACGCUGAGGCUCGAAAGCGUGGGGAGCAAACAGG